This 180-nucleotide ribosomal RNA is filed under the name uncultured Glomeromycotina. Its description in RNAcentral is "partial small subunit ribosomal RNA". Lineage: Eukaryota; Fungi; Glomeromycota. The record is from RNAcentral.
AACCUGGUUAGGUGGUCUGCCUUACGGUACGUACUGCUCGGCCGGGUUCUACCUCUUGGUGAGCCGGCAUGUCCUUCACUGGGUGUGUCGGGGAACCAGGACUUUUACCUUGAGAAAAUUAGAGUGUUUAAAGCAAGUGAAUAACAGCCUGAAUACAUUAGCAUGGAAUAAUAGAAUAGG